GUGUGCUAAUACCGGAUACGUUGAGUAAUCAAGAAAGGUGGCCUCUGAAUAUGCUACUGUGCUGAGAUGAGCUUGCGUACCAUUAGCUAGUUGGUAGGGUAAUGGCCUACCAAGGCAACGAUGGUUAGCGGGUCUGAGAGGAUGAUCCGCCACACUGGAACUGAAACACGGACCAGACUCCUACGGGAGGCAGCAGUGAGGAAUAUUGCGCAAUGGGGGAAACCCUGACGCAGCGACGCCGCGUGGAUGAUGAAGGCCUUCGGGUCGUAAAAUCCUGUCAGAUGGAAAGAAAUGCAUGGUGGCUAAUACCUGCCAUGUUUGACGGUACCAUCGAAGGAAGCACCGGCUAACUCCGUGCCAGCAGCCGCGGUAAUACGGAGGGUGCAAGCGUUGUUCGGAAUUACUGGGCGUAAGGCGCGCGUAGGCGGUUUGUUAAGUCAGAUGUGAAAGCCCAUGGCUCAACCAUGGACGUGCAUUUGAAACUGGCAGACUUGAGUAUUGG
This 502-nucleotide ribosomal RNA is filed under the name uncultured bacterium. RNAcentral describes it as "bacterial SSU rRNA". It matches the Rfam family "Bacterial small subunit ribosomal RNA", at positions 158 to 652 of the family's 1533-position model. The record is from RNAcentral.